CAAUAGCGUAUAUUAAAGUUGUUGCAGUUAAAGAGCUCGUAGUUGAAUUUUUGCUUGCCGCCGAUGUCGGAACUUCCGUACGUUCGGCGGCGUGCAUCCUUGGGUGGAACCUGUGUGGCAUUAGGUUGUCGUGCAGGGGAUGCUCAUCGUUUACUGUGAAAAAAUUAGAGUGUUCAAAGCAGGCUUACGCCGUUGAAUAUAUUAGCAUGGAAUAAUAAGAUAGGACCUUGGUACUAUUUUGUUGGUUUGCGCACCGAGGUAAUGAUUAACAGGGACAGUUGGGGGUAUUCGUAUUCCAUUGUCAGAGGUGAAAUUCUUGGAUUUCUGGAAGACGAACUACUGCGAAAGCAUUUACCAAGGAUGUUUUCAUUAA
RNAcentral lists this ribosomal RNA (373 nucleotides) under uncultured eukaryote. RNAcentral describes it as "partial 18S ribosomal RNA". It matches the Rfam family "Eukaryotic small subunit ribosomal RNA", at positions 592 to 976 of the family's 1831-position model. The record is from RNAcentral.